GAUGCUGGUGGUAACACCAGGCGUGCACCUGCCAGGCGAACCCUGGGCUGUUUGUUGCAGUGCCAGUUCUAGUGCUCCUUGCGGCUGCCCAGCUCACCCACCCACAUGAGACGGGCUGAUGUUGCUGCUUUGAAGGGGGACUUGGGUGGGCUGGGUUUGGCUCCGUACGGUGCUUGACGUGCUGUGACCCGUUUCAGGCUGCCCAGGCUUUGCUGAAGUUCUGCAGACCUUCAGUACCUGCAAGGGGAUGCUGGGCGAGAUCCUGUCUGCAUUCGAGUUCAUGGAUGCUGUGUGCAUGCAGCUGGUCAGGCGCCAUCUCCACCUGGCCAGCCCGGUGCAAGAAAGUCCGUUUUACGUCCUCAUCGAGACUUCAGGCUCCAAUGCAGGGCACGAUGCUGAGAAGCUGGGCCGCUUCCUGGAGCACGCGCUGGGCUCCGGCCUGGUGAUCGAUGGGACCAUGGCCACCGACCAGAGGAAAGUCAAGAUGCUGUGGGCCCUGAGGGAAAGGAUCACAGAGGCGCUGAGCCGGGAUGGCUACGUGUACAAGUACGACCUCUCCCUCCCCGUGGAGCGGCUCUACGACAUUGUGACUGACCUGCGCGCCCGCCUCGGCCCGCACGCCAAGCACGUGGUGGGCUAUGGCCACCUUGGAGACGGUAACCUGCACCUCAACGUGACAGCGGAGGCCUUCAGCCCGUCGCUCCUGGGUGCCCUGGAGCCCCACGUGUAUGAGUGGACGGCCGGGCAGCAGGGCAGUGUCAGCGCGGAGCACGGCGUGGGCUUCAGGAAGAGGAAUGUCCUGGGCUACAGCAAGCCACCCGAGGCCUUGCAGCUCAUGCAGCAGCUCAAGGCCCUGCUGGACCCCAAGGGCAUCCUCAACCCCUACAAG
RNAcentral lists this small RNA (889 nucleotides) under Pongo abelii (Sumatran orangutan). Its description in RNAcentral is "retained intron". The record is from RNAcentral. Lineage: Eukaryota; Metazoa; Chordata; Mammalia; Primates; Hominidae.